AUUGAACGCAGGCGGCAUGCUUUACACAUGCAAGUCGAACGGUAACAGGCCUUCGGGUGCUGACGAGUGGCGAACGGGUGAGUAAUGCAUCGGAACGUACCCAGAGGUGGGGGAUAACGCAGCGAAAGCUGUGCUAAUACCGCAUGUGAUCUGAGGAUGAAAGCGGGGGACCGAGCAGCAAUGUUUGGCCUCGCGCCUUUGGAGCGGCCGAUGUCGGAUUAGCUAGUUGGUGGGGUAAAGGCCUACCAAGGCGACGAUCCGUAGCUGGUCUGAGAGGACGACCAGCCACACUGGGACUGAGACACGGCCCAGACUCCUACGGGAGGCAGCAGUGGGGAAUUUUGGACAAUGGGCGCAAGCCUGAUCCAGCAAUGCCGCGUGCGGGAAGAAGGCCUUCGGGUUGUAAACCGCUUUUGGCAGGAACGAAACGGUGUCCGCUAAUACCGGGCGCUAAUGACGGUACCUGCAGAAUAAGCACCGGCUAACUACGUG
This 492-nucleotide ribosomal RNA is filed under the name uncultured bacterium. Its description in RNAcentral is "partial 16S ribosomal RNA". It matches the Rfam family "Bacterial small subunit ribosomal RNA", at positions 29 to 507 of the family's 1533-position model. The record is from RNAcentral.